RNAcentral lists this ribosomal RNA (415 nucleotides) under uncultured bacterium. Its description in RNAcentral is "bacterial SSU rRNA". It matches the Rfam family "Bacterial small subunit ribosomal RNA", at positions 355 to 775 of the family's 1533-position model. The record is from RNAcentral.
UGAGGAAUUUUGCGCAAUGGGGGAAACCCUGACGCAGCGACGCCGCGUGGAGGAUGAAGGCCUUCCGGUCGUAAACUCCUGUCAGAGGUGAAGAAUGCCCGCACGGGUUUGACGGUAACCUCAGAGGAAGCCCCGGCUAACUACGUGCCAGCAGCCGCGGUAAUACGUAGGGGGCAAACGUUACUCGGACUUACUGGGCGUAAAGGGUGCGUAGGCGGCUGGGAAAGUCAAGGAUGAAAUACCGUGGCUCAACUGCGGAACGGUCCUUGAAACUACUCGGCUUGAGGAUAACCGAAGAGAACGGAAGUCCCGGUGGAGCGGUGAAAUGCGUAGAUAUCGGGAGGAACACCUGAGGCGAAAGCGGUUCUCUAGACUACUCCUGACGCUGAGGCACGAAAGCUAGGGGAGCAAACGG